This 297-nucleotide long non-coding RNA is filed under the name Podarcis lilfordi (Lilford's wall lizard). Lineage: Eukaryota; Metazoa; Chordata; Lepidosauria; Squamata; Lacertidae. The record is from RNAcentral.
GCCCGUUGGUAACCAUGGCGACGGCUAAGCCCUCAACCGCCCAUCCCUCCUCGCUGAUUUCUAUCGCUGUGUGAUACCAAAAACAAAAAAGCAUUAUAAAACCCGGAGGCCUUUAAAAUUACAAAACACGUUAUAAACCAAUAAGGCGGCUGCACGUUUAAAACCGCCCUGCGGUGCUGUAGGCCGCCGCCAACCCCGUGUCGCGAAUGGAAUUGCGCACAACAGCCCUGUCGUGUAGGCCGCUGAUCCAGAUGGGCGGGUCACAAAUAAAAUAAUAAUAAUAAUAAUAAUAAUAAU